This 468-nucleotide ribosomal RNA is filed under the name uncultured bacterium. RNAcentral describes it as "partial 16S ribosomal RNA". It matches the Rfam family "Bacterial small subunit ribosomal RNA", at positions 28 to 507 of the family's 1533-position model. The record is from RNAcentral.
GACGAACGCUGGCGGCGUGCUUAACACAUGCAAGUCGAACGGAAAGGCCCUGCUUUUGUUGGGUGCUCGAGUGGCGAACGGGUGAGUAACACGUGAGUAACCUGCCCUUGACUUUGGGAUAACUUCAGGAAACUGGGGCUAAUACCGGAUAGGAGCUCCUGCUGCAUGGUGGGGGUUGGAAAGUUUCGGCGGUUGGGGAUGGACUCGCGGCUUAUCAGCUUGUUGGUGGGGUAGUGGCUUACCAAGGCUUUGAGGGGUAGCCGGCCUGAGAGGGUGGCCGGCCACAUUGGGACUGAGAUACGGCCCAGACUCCUACGGGAGGCAGCGGUGGAGAAUAUUACACAGUGGGCGGGAGCCUGAUGCAGCAACGCCGCGUGCGGGAUGACGGCCUUCGGGUUGUAAACCGCUUUCGCCUGUGACGAAGCGUGAGUGACGGUAAUGGGUAAAGAAGCACCGGCUAACUACGUG